Molecule: long non-coding RNA, 403 nt
Filed under: Salmo salar (Atlantic salmon)
Lineage: Eukaryota; Metazoa; Chordata; Actinopteri; Salmoniformes; Salmonidae
Description: lncRNA (ENSSSAG00000095359.1)
Source: RNAcentral
GUUGACAUGUCAUCACUUCAUUUUUUUGCGCCUGCGCAUAAAUCUGAGAAACGUGAGUUUGUCAUCAUUUUUUAUCUAGACAUAGGAUAGGUUGUGUGAAAAUAUUACUGAUGUUUAACGUUAAAAAUGGACCAAAAGAUUAAUGCUAAACAACAUUUGACAUGUUUGAACGAACAUAAAUAGAUUAUUUACUAGGUUUUUUUAGCUUUUCGGCGUGAUUUUACCAGCCCCCCAACCACGUUUUGUGGGAGCAUAAUGAACGCUAAGUACUUGGUGUUAUUUGGACAUAAAUUAUGAACUUUGUCAAAAGAAACCACAUUUGUUCCGGACCUGGAAUGCCUUCCGGACCUGGGAUCCUGCCUUCUGAUGGAGAUAAUCAAAGUGCGUAUUGGGGUAUCAGCCG